UGAACGCUAGCGACAGGCUUAACACAUGCAAGUCGAGGGGUAACAGGGUAGCAAUACCGCUGACGACCGGCGCACGGGUGAGUAACGCGUAUGCAACCUGCCUAUAACUGGGGAAUAGCUCCCUGAAAGGGGAAUUAACACCGCAUAAUACUAUUGAUUCGCAUGGAUUAGUAGUUAAAUGUAGCGAUACAGGUUAUAGAUGGGCAUGCGUGACAUUAGCUAGUUGGUGAGGUAACGGCUCACCAAGGCUACGAUGUCUAGGGGUUCUGAGAGGAAGGUCCCCCACACUGGUACUGAGACACGGACCAGACUCCUACGGGAGGCAGCAGUGAGGAAUAUUGGUCAAUGGACGAGAGUCUGAACCAGCCAAGUCGCGUGCAGGAAGAAUGUUCCCUAUGGAUUGUAAACUGCUUUUGCAGGGGAAUAAAGUGCAUCACGUGUGAUGUUUUGUAUGUACUCUGCGAAUAAGGAUCGGCUAACUCCGUGCCAGCAGCUGC
This 497-nucleotide ribosomal RNA is filed under the name uncultured bacterium. Its description in RNAcentral is "bacterial SSU rRNA". It matches the Rfam family "Bacterial small subunit ribosomal RNA", at positions 30 to 518 of the family's 1533-position model. The record is from RNAcentral.